RNAcentral lists this ribosomal RNA (1491 nucleotides) under Adonisia turfae CCMR0081. RNAcentral's name for it is "bacterial SSU rRNA". It matches the Rfam family "Bacterial small subunit ribosomal RNA". Lineage: Bacteria; Bacillati; Cyanobacteriota. The record is from RNAcentral. RNAcentral also lists the same sequence under 1 other name.
AUGGAGAGUUUGAUCCUGGCUCAGGAUGAACGCUGGCGGCGUGCUUAACACAUGCAAGUCGAACGAACCUUUCGGGGUGAGUGGCGGACGGGUGAGUAACGCGUGAGGAUCUGCCCUUAGGCGGGGGACAACUUUUGGAAACGGAAGCUAAUACCCCAUAUGGCGAGAGCUGAAAGCUUAAUGUGCCUGAGGAUGAACUCGCGUCUGAUUAGCUAGUUGGUGGGGUAAGAGCUUACCAAGGCGACGAUCAGUAGCUGUUCUGAGAGGAAGAUCAGCCACACUGGGACUGAGACACGGCCCAGACUCCUACGGGAGGCAGCAGUGGGGAAUUUUCCGCAAUGGGCGCAAGCCUGACGGAGCAACGCCGCGUGAGGGAGGAAUGUCUGUGGAUUGUAAACCUCUUUUCUCUGGGAAGAAGAUCUGACGGUACCAGAGGAAUCAGCAUCGGCUAACUCCGUGCCAGCAGCCGCGGUAAGACGGAGGAUGCAAGCGUUAUCCGGAAUUAUUGGGCGUAAAGCGUCCGUAGGCGGUCAAUUAAGUCAGUUGUUAAAGACUGCAGCUCAACUGUGGGAGAGCAACUGAAACUGAUUAACUAGAGUAUGGUAGGGGUAGAGGGAAUUCCUAGUGUAGCGGUGAAAUGCGUAGAUAUUAGGAAGAACACCAGUGGCGAAGGCGCUCUACUGGGCCAAGACUGACGCUGAUGGACGAAAGCUAGGGGAGCGAAAGGGAUUAGAUACCCCUGUAGUCCUAGCUGUAAACGAUGGAUACUAGGUGUUGUGCGUAUCGACCCGUGCAGUACCGAAGCAAACGCGUUAAGUAUCCCGCCUGGGGAGUACGCACGCAAGUGUGAAACUCAAAGGAAUUGACGGGGGCCCGCACAAGCGGUGGAGUAUGUGGUUUAAUUCGAUGCAACGCGAAGAACCUUACCAGGACUUGACAUCCCUCGAAUACCUAAGAAAUUGGGUAGUGCCUUCGGGAGCGAGGAGACAGGUGGUGCAUGGCUGUCGUCAGCUCGUGUCGUGAGAUGUUGGGUUAAGUCCCGCAACGAGCGCAACCCACGUCUUUAGUUGCCAUCAUUCAGUUGGGCACUCUGGAGAGACUGCCGGGGACAACUCGGAGGAAGGUGUGGACGACGUCAAGUCAUCAUGCCCCUUACGUUCUGGGCUACACACGUACUACAAUGCAACGGACAAAGGGCAGCCAACUAGCGAUAGUGAGCUAAUCCCAUAAACCGUUGCUCAGUUCAGAUUGCAGGCUGCAACUCGCCUGCAUGAAGGAGGAAUCGCUAGUAAUCGCAGGUCAGCAUACUGCGGUGAAUACGUUCCCGGGCCUUGUACACACCGCCCGUCACACCAUGGAAGUUGGCCAUGCCCGAAGUCGUUACCCUAACCGUUUUCGGAGGGGGGCGCCGAAGGCAGGGCUGAUGACUGGGGUGAAGUCGUAACAAGGUAGCCGUACCGGAAGGUGUGGCUGGAUCACCUCCUUUAAGGG